GGUCACAGCUCAGUGGUGGAGCGCCCGUCUCGCACAUGCAAGGCCCUGGGUUCAAUCCUCAGCACCA
Molecule: transfer RNA, 67 nt
Filed under: Marmota monax (woodchuck)
Lineage: Eukaryota; Metazoa; Chordata; Mammalia; Rodentia; Sciuridae
Description: tRNA.Ala
Source: RNAcentral